UGCAGCCCAGGGCUGACCACUGUGUGGAAGGGGCAGCACACUCACGUAUGUGCACACACACUCACACCUGACACAAGGAGGCUCACACGUGGCCUGGGAGCAGGGAAGCAGGAAGGACCCUUCAACAUGUGGCCCUUGACAGGGGCAAUGGCCAAUGGUCACUGGGCUGCUGCCCUGCCCUGGGUCCCACUUAGAGGGGGAUUUGUUGCAGCUUGGGCUGGGGCCAGGCCACCCAUCGUAUUCUUUCCGUUUACCUUGUACAGACUGCCCGCCCGCCAUCCCCACACACAUUUUAUUUAAUAACUUGUCAUUGUUAAAUUAUUUAUUAGCGUUUCCACAUCACCACCCCCGCCUUCCACUCACCUUCUGCCUCUUCCCACAAAAGCAGAAAAUGGAAACAGCGAGGAAAAAAAAAAGACGAGAUGUUGGUAUAUUUGUAAAUAAAGAACCUGUACACUCC
RNAcentral lists this long non-coding RNA (460 nucleotides) under Rattus norvegicus (Norway rat). RNAcentral describes it as "long non-coding RNA NONRATT019206". The record is from RNAcentral. Lineage: Eukaryota; Metazoa; Chordata; Mammalia; Rodentia; Muridae.